AUACGUAGGGGGCGAGCGUUGUCCGGAAUGAUUGGGCGUAAAGGGCGCGUAGGCGGCCCGGUAAGUCUGGAGUGAAAGUCCUGUUUUUAAGAUGGGAAUUGCUUUGGAUACUGUCGGGCUUGAGUGCAGGAGAGGUAAGUGGAAUUUCCAGUGCAGCGGUGAAAUGCGUAGAGAUUGGGAGGAACACCAGUGGCGAAGGCGACUUACUGGACUGUAACUGACGCUGAGGCGCGAAAGUGUGGGGAGCAAACAGGAUUAGAUACCCUGGUAGUCCACACUGUAAACGAUGAAUGCUAGGUGUAGGGGGUAUCGACCCCUUCUGUGCCGCAGUCAACACAAUAAGCAUUCCGCCUGGGGAGUACGGCCGCAAGGUUGAAACUCAAAGGAAUUGACGGGG
This 397-nucleotide ribosomal RNA is filed under the name uncultured bacterium. RNAcentral describes it as "partial 16S ribosomal RNA". It matches the Rfam family "Bacterial small subunit ribosomal RNA", at positions 523 to 918 of the family's 1533-position model. The record is from RNAcentral.